This 433-nucleotide ribosomal RNA is filed under the name uncultured bacterium. RNAcentral's name for it is "partial 16S ribosomal RNA". It matches the Rfam family "Bacterial small subunit ribosomal RNA", at positions 29 to 507 of the family's 1533-position model. The record is from RNAcentral.
AGCGAACGCUGGCGGCAGGCCUAACACAUGCAAGUCGAACGAACACUUCGGAGUUAGUGGCGGACGGGUGAGUAACACGUGGGAACGUGCCCUUUGGUUCGGAAUAACUCAGGGAAACUUGUGCUAAUACCGAAUGUGCCCUUCGGGGGAAAGAUUUAUCGCCAUUAGAGGGGCCCGCGUCUGAUUCGCUAGUUGGUGAGGUAACGGCUCACCAAGGCGACGAUCAGUAGCUGGUCUGAGAGGAUGACCAGCCACACUGGGACUGAGACACGGCCCAGACUCCUACGGAAGGCAGGAGUGGGGAAUCUAGCGGAAUGGGCGAAGGCCUGACGCAGCCAUGCCGCGUAAAUGAUGAAGGUCUUAGGAUAGUAAAAUUCUUUCACCGGAGACGAUAAUGACGGUACCCGGUGAAGAAGCCCCGGCUAACUACGUG